CCGCCGCGCCAUGCCUGUGGCGG
This 23-nucleotide unclassified non-coding RNA is filed under the name synthetic construct. The record is from RNAcentral.